Molecule: long non-coding RNA, 499 nt
Organism: Orcinus orca (killer whale)
Lineage: Eukaryota; Metazoa; Chordata; Mammalia; Artiodactyla; Delphinidae
Exons: 3
Source: RefSeq, a predicted model, not a curated record
UAAGAUCCAGUUGUCUCAACAUCAUGUGAUAUCAACUGUGACCACUCAUGGCAGCUCAGCUGAGAUGGACAUGUCGAAGAUAUCCACGAGUUCUUCAAGACUUCUUUCCAUGUGGUGUUCUCUUAUCAUUAGAAACGUAUAGCCAGAGCUCCUUAAAAGGCAGCAGGAUGCUAAUAAAACUCCCCACGUGGAUACACUUCAUUGGAAUGUGUAUGCCUCUCUGCCUAUUGAAAUCCUACACAUCCUUCAAGAUGUUGAGAUAUUAAGUAUUGAGCAAAGUGAUAAAGGUCUGAUUGCCACCAGGAACUCUCAGUCCAUUCCCCCAUUCCACUGCAUUGAUUUUGCAACCAAAGCUCCUCUCUUAUAAGAGAAUGAAAACAGUUAUGGAGGAAAGGAGGAUACAGAGGAGCUGCCUGCAUUAAUGUGUGUAUCCAACUUAGUCAGCCAAAACCAGCCCAUUACACCUGCAUUAUCUUGCUAUUCUAAACAACAAAUACAA